AGCAGGGAGGCAGAGCGCAUCACAUCAGACGCUGCUUUGCAUCCAAAAAAAUCUCAAUCACCACAUCAGGAGCCACUGUGACCGACGGAGCCUCUUCUCGGUCACAGCUGAUGUCAGAUACAUCUGAAGAGAAAGGAGACAAGCUUGGACAAACAAUCAAAUAAACAGCAGAAAAACACAUAGACGCACUUCACUGAGACGCACGUCCAUCGCCGGAGGCAGCGAGCGGACCACUGUGCAGAGGAGCGCCGUCUCUCUGCGUACUGGCAUCUGGAUCCACAUCAGACACAGAGUGGACCAAUCUUGAAUCAUUGUGCCGAUUCAACUUACUCCUAGACAUCAAUAUUCCAGUGGAGCAAACCAAGAAGCAAAGUCAUAAUUGAUGUGAAAGUGUGCAGAAACCGAAGGCUUUGCUGAUUCACAGAGGAGCUCCAUAUGCAAAGG
This is a long non-coding RNA of Cyprinodon variegatus (sheepshead minnow), 444 nucleotides long. RefSeq lists it as uncharacterized. The record is from RefSeq and is a predicted model, not a curated record. Lineage: Eukaryota; Metazoa; Chordata; Actinopteri; Cyprinodontiformes; Cyprinodontidae. The transcript has 3 exons.